GGCCCCUUGGUCAAGCGGUUAAGACACCGCCCUUUCACGGCGGUAACACGGGUUCGAAUCCCGUAGGGGUCA
Bacillus infantis NRRL B-14911 is the source of this 72-nucleotide transfer RNA. It matches the Rfam family "tRNA". Rfam says of the family: Transfer RNA (tRNA) molecules are approximately 80 nucleotides in length. Their secondary structure includes four short double-helical elements and three loops (D, anti-codon, and T loops). Further hydrogen bonds mediate the characteristic L-shaped molecular structure. tRNAs have two regions of fundamental functional importance: the anti-codon, which is responsible for specific mRNA codon recognition, and the 3' end, to which the tRNAs corresponding amino acid is attached (by aminoacyl-tRNA synthetases). tRNAs cope with the degeneracy of the genetic code in two manners: having more than one tRNA (with a specific anti-codon) for a particular amino acid; and 'wobble' base-pairing, i.e. permitting non-standard base-pairing at the 3rd anti-codon position. The record is from Rfam. Lineage: Bacteria; Bacillati; Bacillota; Bacilli; Caryophanales; Bacillaceae.